Molecule: long non-coding RNA, 840 nt
Organism: Olea europaea var. sylvestris
Lineage: Eukaryota; Viridiplantae; Streptophyta; Magnoliopsida; Lamiales; Oleaceae
Exons: 3
Source: RefSeq, a predicted model, not a curated record
AAGAGUAAAAUAGGUAGAGUAAUACUCGAGUUUUACUCCCACGCGAUCUGUGCCGCUCGUCUCUCCUCUCUAUCUCGCCGCCUUCCACCACUGACCACCGGCCUCCUACGUUCGAGCCCUAGACGCAGCACCUUCGAGCCCUUGAACUUCGCAAGACGCGGCAGUAGGCAGCAGUACUUCGAGUCUACAUUUCCACCAAUGAUUUGACGGCAGAAGAAGAAGAAGAAGGUCUCAUUGAUACUCAAGGGUGCCAAUGAUUUCAUGCUCGACGAGAUAGACAGGGCUUUGCACGAUGCUAUAUCCAUUGUCAAAAGAACUCUGGAAUCUAAUACGGUAGUUGCUGGUGGAGGUGCUGCUGAAGCUGCCUUAUCUGUCUAUCUGGAAAACCUAGCCACUACUCUUGGAUCUAGGGAGCAGCUAGUUCCACAGCUCUUUCAGUCUUCCGAUUGGUAAAUUUCAUCCUAGCAUUCCAUACUUUCUGCUUGAUUUCUGCGUCUUUAUCCUUGAUUUAAAAUGGCUUAUGUAACUUACCAAGACAUUCUACUUGUGGAACUUCUUUACCAUAUUCCAAAAGUAAAAAAAGGCCAAUACGCCACCAAGGACAGAAGUGUGUAAAGGAUAUGCUAAUAUAUAAAUUUUAAUAAGCGCCUUAAUCUAUGUUUAAUUUGACUUCAAAGCCAUCUGCUGAUGAAGAUUAGAUUAUGGAAAAGGACAGAAUAAAAGAUAAAAGACUUCAUGUUCAAUCUGGGCUUUGGAGCGUUUGAUGAUAGGUCAGGCAAGCUUUAGUUCAAGUCGUAUUUUGUUUAUGAUGUGCUUAUUUAAGGAUUUUUUUUUUUUUUU